GCGGGUCUGUUGGCUUGCCCAGGGAAACGCAAUAAUCCGGGGCGUGACAUAUAUCUUAUAUUUGAAUUUUAUAAUCUUAAAUUUUAAGUUUUUAAAUUUGUAAUCUCGAUAUUUACAACAUUAAGUUUAACAAAUAAGUUGUAAAUUUUAAUUUCAAAUUUUCAUUUCAAAAUUUAAUUUUUAAUUUUCAAAAUUCCAACUUUUGAAUUUUAUAAACAAACACACUACAACUUUUAACCGAAAUAAAAUCUUUAAACCUGAACUAAUUAGGAAGAAAUUAUUUUUUUCACAAUCUCGACCAACUGACACUAAGAGU
Molecule: long non-coding RNA, 316 nt
Filed under: Ananas comosus (pineapple)
Lineage: Eukaryota; Viridiplantae; Streptophyta; Magnoliopsida; Poales; Bromeliaceae
Description: long non-coding RNA (ACOM_LNC041625)
Source: RNAcentral